UUUUAGGGCUGCUCCUGCAGCAUAUGGAGGUUCCCAGACUAGGGGUGUAAUCAAAGCUACAGCUGCCAGCCCAUACCACAGCCACAGCCACAGCAACAUGGGAUCUGAGCCGUGUCUGUGACCUACACCACAGUUCACGGCAACACCGGAUCCUUAACCCACUGAGUGAGGCCAGGGAUCAAACACGCAACCUCAUGCUAGGACAUGCAGUGCCAGAAUUCAAGGCGAGAUCUGUGCAACUCUGGAGUCACGUGUUCUUUCCACUAUGACACAUGGACUCACACCUCAGAAGAUGUCCAAAGUUACUCUCUUUUACUUGUGAAAAUAAGCCUCUAAAGAACAACUUUCUAAUAUUAAUAUAAUAAUUACUACUACAUUGGAAAGUAGUGCCUUUACAUAGCAAUAGGCAUGAUGUUUUCAUAAAAGAACAUUUCUUGCACCUCUGUUGCUCUUUUGCCAGCAUCUCAUCCAGUUUGAGAAUUUGAUAAUAGCUAGUAAUAAUAAUAAUGAAAUAUAAUAACAAGAAUUUAAUAGGCACCUACCGUGUGCUAGAUCUUGUGCUUGGUGAUACCUGGGCACAGUCUUAUUUAAUCUGUAAAUAAAUAAGAGUCCUGUGAAGUAGACAUGACUCUCCCCACUUGAGAGACCAUAUGGAAGGUUGAGAGAUGAAGCAACCUGACCAAGGUUACACUGGGUAAGUGGCAAAGCAGAGAUUCAAACUCCAAUGUGGUACAUGCACAAGGCCACCGCACACCCGCCCAUGAAUUCCAGGAGCCAGAAUUAGCUUUGCUGUAGGGAGAAGAAACAAAGGGAAAACAAUUUGUCCAAGGUAAUGUGGCUAGUGAGAAGCAGAGCCAGUCAGAGAAACAGAAAUCCCCAGCUCCUCAUUCACUUCCUGACCUCAGGAACUUUGUUUGGGCCAAGAGGAUAAAUGUGUGAUAAUUGAGAAAAAUUACUUAAUUUGGUCCUGAAUGGCCCAGGCCAACUGUACUCAAGGAAUAAAAGGGCAGCCUGCAGUUUACGACUCCCUUGUUAGGCUUACUGGACUUGCAAAACCCUUCUUGCAGUACAUGUGGCAGUCCCAACCUGGAUCAUAAUUUACCACUUCACUAAAGUUCCCAGUGAAGAGCUGCCAACUACAGUAAAUUGACUAUAGUUCCUUCUUUGAUUCUCUUUCACCAGGCAUCUUGCACACAAAACACUCUCACAAAAUCCAACGAGGUUCAGCAUUGACCAGACGCAAUAGCCCAGGGGAGAAAACAUCUCCAAGAAUCUUCUAGCACCUGCUUCACCUCAUUACCAAGAGCUGGCUCAGUCACCAAAGGGGUUCAGCAUGCCAUAGAUAAGACAUUUAGGAUCUGCUUCUAUCCACUCCUAUCCCUACACAAGAAAAUGAUCACAAGGAAAUGAAAAAAAUAGGACAGCAAUCAAUAUUUGAAGGAAAACUAAAAUUAUUCUGUCUUGAAAGUCAAUAGGAGAUAAGUCUCAGACAAAAAAAAAAAUCCAAUAGUCUGAUAAAAUGAAAAAAUGCAGUGGACAGUAAUAAAAAUGGCACUUUGCACAUUUUGACUAUGCCUACUCAGAGAAGAGAAUUAGGUUUACAUGUGCCAUACCACCUUGUGUGAAUAUUACAGGCAAAAAAAAGCAAAAAUGCUACAUCAGAACCAUUUUCAUCCUUUCCGGUAAACCCAACCUUCUUUAUAAGGAGUGGCUGAGGGAGAGGAAAAUUCAGACACUAUUGUCUGUCUGAGUGAGGGCUGCAGGGCAAAUGCAGAGGACAAGGAAAGACCUAUGGAGAGUGCUACUGAUGGGAGUUCACGGGAUGACCUCUACCUCGAGUAUUAUUCUACAUGUGCUCAGCAAGAGGCCAGUUACCAAGCAUGUAGUGUGGGUGAAGAAGAUGAAUUAACCCAAUUCUAAACUGGUUGGAGACCCAUAAAGCUUAGGAAUAUAACAUAUGCAAAUAGUCAUCAUCAACUUUUCUGAACUGGUGCAACCUUUAUUGAUUGUAUAAGAAAACAGCAGCCCAUGGAAAUUAGGAGAACUGCCUCAAAGCAUCAUGAUACAUCUAGAACAUAAAACAUAUAAAAAACAAUGUAAUGCAGCAUAACCACAAGCAUCAACUACACCAUUACAACCUGGGUUUAUGGGUACUAAAAGAAAUGAGUUUAAAGGUCAAAUGUCACCCAAAUCAAUGGAUGUUCUCCUACUGCAAUGACUACCCAUGGCAUCAACUUGCUUAUCUAAGUACAGCAUGAUGGUUAACAGCCUAGGCUCAGACUUGUUCAAAGCCCAGUGAAGUCGUGGCCUAGCUAUGUGGAUCUUGGGUAAAUUACUUCAGCAACUUUUGCCUAUGUUUUCUUAUCUAUAAAAUGGGAAAAUGAACAGUGCCUAAUGCAUAUGGGGUUUGUAACUAUUAAGCGAUUAUACCCAAGGACUUGAAAAAGAGCUUAACACAGAGUAAGUGCCAGUCACUGCUACCUAUAAUAAUAAUGAUCAUUAUUAAUAAUGGCCAAUAGUAAUUAUUCUUAUCAGUAUUGAUAAUUAUAACUCUCCAGAAUAGAACUGCCCACCCAUCCCAGACUGCCUACUUUUACUCUGAACUAUUACAAAAAAGAGAAUUUGCGGUCUUAUUUGAGUCACUAAAUAGUGGGAUUUCUAUGAUAUAUUAAUUUAGGUUUUAACCCAAAAUAUGUUUACUACCUUGUACAAUAAUCAUCCUUUUAUAUAUGUGUUUAUCCUAUCAGAUUUUGCACUUCCUGAAGCAAUGAGCUCAGCCAUUUUUAGAUGGAAAAGAGUCAAUAAGUGUUUGACAAACUUAACUUGGUAUCAAAAGUAAUGUCUGUGGAUACAAAAGUCCAGAAAAUUCUUUAUGGAGUUCCCAUAUGACUCAGUGGGUUAAGGAUAUCCGGAGGAUGUGGGUUCGAUCCCUGGCUUCACUCAGUGGGUUAAGGAUCCAACAUUGCCAUGAGCUGCAGCAUAGUCACAGAGGCAGCUCGGAUCUGGCGUUGCUAUGGCUGUGGUGUAGGCCAGCAGGGGCAAUUCCAAAUUGACCCCUAGCCUGGGAACUUCUAUAUGCCGCAGGUAUGGCCCUAAAAAGAAAAUAAAUAAAUAAAUAAAAAUUUAAAAAUAGAAAAUUCUCUGAUUAUGAUUUAGCUCUCCUGAUCUUACAAGUAAAUGUAUUAUUUGUUGUGUUAGUUGCAGUAGAUGACACUGAUAAAACAAAUAGGUCCACUAUGUAUUGUGUCAAACACAAUACAAUUUCAUGUUAAUGAUUCUGGCAAAUGUUCCCAUUUGAAAGAGGGGUUCUUCUCUAGACAAUUGUUUAGGAUCAUGGGUUGACAGCAGUUCUUACAAUAUCCGUCAAUGGCUUCCAAAGUCGCCCUGGGUGUGGCCAAUCCAGCUGCCUAAAAGGGGAUAUUUGGAAAAGCACUCAUUGGGGGUUUCAUAGAGCAAGCCUAGAAGUGGCAUAUGUUUUUCCACUCACAUUCCAUGAGACAGAACUCUAUCAAACGAUACAUCCAACUGCACAAGAGGCUGGGAGAUGUAGGAAGGGGAAGUGGAUUUUAGUGAAGAGCUAGCAAUCUCUGCCAGUGGCUGAAAUUAAUUUCACCCACUUUAUUCAAAGGAACCACUACUUAAAAAUACUUGAUGAGUAUUGAGAAAACUAAAUAUUCUUUUGAGAAUAGUUUUUAUUUACUAAAGUUCUGUAGUCAAGAUAUAACUUCUUCCUUAAACUAGCAGGAAAUAAGUUUUGAGAUUAAGUAUUCAUCUGCAAAACUCUCUGUUUCCUUGGCUUAAUUAAAAUACCUUUUACUCUCUCUGCGUGAAUAAAUAUAAGGGGUGAUCAAAAGGAAAAAUAUCACAUUAGUCUGGAUCUAACCACUGCCACCUCACCCUUCAAGGCUUGGUAGACAAUUCCAGCCCACAUUUGCCACUUUCUUUUCUGUGUCCUGUAGCUCUCACAAGUUUCCAUCCAGAAGAAAAAUAGAUGGUCUUGAAAUGUUUUCUGCUUUAAUAUAUGAGCCUUAUUUGCUUAACCACAUUGCCAGAUCCUCAAGGGUAUCUUUUAUUUUAUGUUUCUCUGGAAAGUGAAAAUGAUUUUGUAAAAUACAAAGUGCCUUCCAUAAAGUCAAGCGUUUUUCUUUCUUUUGUAUUUCUUUCAGUGCCUAAGCACAGUGGUAGGUAUUCAAAUAACCAAUUAGAUCACUUACCGGUUUAACAGAAAGUUAGAGCUCAAAGGGGCCUGUAAGUCAAUUAAUUUCAAAACAGGCUGUAAUUUUUCACUCCUCCCUGUUUCUAUGAUUUUUCAAUAAGACGGUGGAGCCUAUUUCCCCAUCUCUUGGUUCUGGGCUAGCCUUGAGAUUUGCUUUGGCCAACAGAAUGUGGUAGGAUGAACAGGCUUUAAGAGGCUUUGUACAUCCCAAGGUUCCAUGCUUUUGGGACACAAGCUUUGGCUAAGAGAAGAAGCCCAGGCUAGCCUGCUGGAUGACAAGUACAUGACAUUCUCUUAUUGCCCAGCUAACAGCCAUGGGAAAGACCAUUCCAGAGGGGCUAGCCCACGGCAGAAGCAGCGGCAACACCAGCCAGGAUCAGGUGAGUCUGGCCCAUGUUAGCAGGACUACCUCGAUGACCCAAAUCUGCCUCUGGAGCAAUAAUAUAUGCUUACUGUUUUGAGACACUGAUGUUUGAGGGUGGUCUGUUACACGACCAUAACUACCUAACAUAGACCCUUCACUGUUUUCUACCCUAGCCCUUCCUUUUGCAGAUAAGUAAACAGAGUCUCAAGCAGGAAAGGACUAUAAGUGGACACUAAUAAAGCUUGGGUUACAACUCAGGUCUUAUAAUUUAGCAGCUUGAUAUGCUUUCUAUUGAAAACAUUUUGUUUUACUUCCAAGAUCUUUGAAAUGUCUCAAGUCAACAUAACUAUUAGGGUCCAAUAAGAGCUGGACACUGAGAAAUGCCCUGUGUAGGAUUGUUGGAGCUUUUCAUAAGAUGAGAUUGCUUGAAACACAAUGAAAAAAUACUAUAAAAAGAAAGGCAAGGUGUCCUACUAUAUGCCAGAGACAUUGAUGAAAGUAUUUUAUAAACUUCUAUUUUGUCAAAAGAAAGGAUACUGGGUCAGCUUCCUGAUACCUUUAGCUCAGAAAGCUCUGAUUUUCACCAGGACAUUAACCAUUCUUCAAAAAACAAGGAGGUCAGGGGCAGGAUUCCGGCAUGAUUAAUGUCCAUCAAUGUUUAGAGCAUCAUAAGGAUUACUUCGGAAUUUGUCUUUUCCUGGAAGAGCAGAAACCUUGACCUUUUCUCUUUCGUGUAUUCCCAUCGCUUGGUAUUGGAAAUGAAUGAAUGAAUGAAUGAAUGAAUCAUAAGCAGAGUCUGAUCCUCAGGAAAACUUUAGGAAAAGGUUCCAGAAGAUAGAAGUUUUGUGAAAGAACUUUAGACUGGUUUUAGGCUGAUGAAUCAGGAAAAUCAGAUGUUACUUUUAAAAAGACCUACAUUAAAAGGGAGGACAAAAAGGAAUGAGGAAAAUAUAAAGCUUUUAAAACAAAAAAGGCAUUAACUAUGUUGUGCCUAUGUUUAUAUACAACUUCACUAAACUAUUUGACUUCCCGUAAUAAAAACUGAGAUUUUCAAUAGCCUUUAGAUUCCUUCUGUAGAAAACUUGUUAUAUAGUAAUAACUUACAUUUAUUAAGGCAUUAUCUCAGGUAAGGUUUUCUUCCCUUUAGAACCAUUUUAGUGUUUUACACAGGUACUAAAUUCACACUAGCAUUUUAAUAAAAGCAAAACCUUUCUAAAUCUCUUCCGACAACUUUCUUAACAUUUCAUGAAAAUUUUAAAGGAUUAGUUGUAUUAAUUGGUCAUAAAUGCAGCUUUUGUUCCUUAUGCUUUAUUCUUUAAUCUGCACUUCAUUCAGAAUUUUUAUUACUCUAAAGCAUUAUGACUAUACAGCAGAAAUUAGCACAAUAUUAAAUCAACUAUACUUUAAUAAAAAGUAAGAUUAAAAAUGUAAAAAGUAGGAGUUCCCGUCGUGGCACAGUGGUUAAAGAAUCCGACUAGGAACCAUGAGGUUGCGGGUUCGGUCCCUGCCCUUGCUCAGUGGGUUAACGAUCCGGCAUUGCCGUGAGCUGUGGUGUAGGUUGCAGACGCGGCUCGGAUCCCGCGUUGCUGUGGCUCUGGCGUAGGCCGGUGGCUACAGCUCCGAUUCAACCCCUAGCC
Molecule: long non-coding RNA, 6217 nt
Filed under: Sus scrofa (pig)
Lineage: Eukaryota; Metazoa; Chordata; Mammalia; Artiodactyla; Suidae
Description: lncRNA (ENSSSCG00050061078.1)
Source: RNAcentral